Pelobates cultripes (western spadefoot toad) is the source of this 267-nucleotide non-coding RNA. The record is from the annotation of a GenBank genome assembly. Lineage: Eukaryota; Metazoa; Chordata; Amphibia; Anura; Pelobatidae.
GUCAGCAUAUAACUCUAGCCAUAUAAGGACAAAACCCCCGAAUCCACAUUCCAGAGCUCUCGGACAAAGAAAGCCUUGUGACUUAUUGAUACCAUCUGUUACUUAUGUCAAUCCACACAUCCAUAUAUAUAUAAUCAAUAGAAACAUAGAAUAUGCAAUAUUCUACAUUCCCUCUGUUUAUGGUUUGUUUUAAAACCAUAACACAAUGUCACUAACCUGUCCAUUCAUACAUCACUUGUAUCACAUUCAUUGAGCAUAGAACAAGAU